Molecule: transfer RNA, 74 nt
Filed under: Candidatus Parcubacteria bacterium
Lineage: Bacteria; Candidatus Parcubacteria
Also listed under: 1 other name
Description: tRNA-Gln
Rfam family: tRNA
About the family: Transfer RNA (tRNA) molecules are approximately 80 nucleotides in length.
Source: RNAcentral
UGCGGGGUGGUGUAAUGGUAACACGGGAGUCUUUGGAACUCUUAAUCCAGGUUCGAGUCCUGGCCCCGCAGCCA